Transfer RNA from Alligator mississippiensis (American alligator), 93 nucleotides. It matches the Rfam family "tRNA". From Rfam's summary of the family: Transfer RNA (tRNA) molecules are approximately 80 nucleotides in length. Their secondary structure includes four short double-helical elements and three loops (D, anti-codon, and T loops). The record is from Rfam. NCBI's taxonomy places the organism in Eukaryota, Metazoa, Chordata, Crocodylia, Alligatoridae.
GCUCCAGUGGUGCAAUGGGUUAGCACGUGGUACUUAUAAGUUAGUAUUGAGUAAGUGAUGCCAAGGUUGUGAGUUCAAGCCUCACUUGGAGCA